UANGCCAUGCCAGUAAAAGUUCAGCCAACAAUAAUGGUGAAACCGCGAAUGGCUCAUUAAUGCAGCUUUAGUUUAAAAGAUAAUAUAUAUUACAUGGAUAACUGUGGUAAUUCUAGAGCUAAUACAUGAUUUUUCUUUCCUUUAUGGUUAGAGCAUUUAUUAGAAAAAGCCGCCGGAAGUCUUUAGGCUUCUUGGUACAACGUGGUGACUCUAAAUAACUUGUUUGAUCGCGUAGGUCAUUGUGCCAGCGACAAUCUUUCAAGUGUCUGCUCUAUCAACUGUCGAUGGUAGUUUAUACGCCUACCAUGGUGAUAACGGGUGACGGAGAAUUAGGGUUCGAUUCCGGAGAGGGAGCCUGAGAAACGGCUACCACAUCCAAGGAAGGCAGCAGGCGCGUAACUUACCCAAUCCCAGCAUGGGGAGGUAGUGACGAAAAAUAACAAUACGGGACUCAAAUGAGGCUUCGUAAUUGGAAUGAGUACAUUCUAAAACCUUUAGCGAGGAUCAAUUGGAAGGCAAGUCUUGUGCCAGCAGCUGCGGUAAUACCAGCUCCAAUAGCGUAUAUUAAAAUUGCUGCGGUUAAAAAGCUCGUAGUUGUGAAUGAAGGACAAAUUGCCCAGGCAGCAAUUUGCUGCCGCCUCAAAUUUGUUCUAUCCGCGUCUAGCGCUUGUUGUCCUCUUUACUGAGGGCUUUAGGUGUCUGACAUUUUCACUCUGAUAAAAGUAGAGUGCUUAAAGCAAGUCAAUCGCUGUUAUAAUAAUGCAUGGAAUGAUGGAGAAGGUUGUCGGACCGUUUGUGGCUAGGAACUGACAUAAUGACCAAUAGAAUCGGCCGGGGGCAUUUGUACUGCGGCGACAGAGGUGAAAUUCUUGGACNNNNNNNNNNNNNNNNNNNNNNNNNNNNNNNNNNNNNNNGUUUUCAUUGAUCAAGAACGAAAGUCAGAGGUUUGAAGGCGAUCAGAUACCGCCGUAGUUCUCGGCUAUAAACUAUGCCAACUAGCAAUCCGUGUUAGUCGUUGUAAUUGACAUGACGGGCAGCUUCGGAAAACCAAAGUGUGGUUCCGGGGGAAGUAUGGUUGCAAAGCUGAAACUUAAAGGAAUUGGCGGAAGGGCACAACAAGGACUGGGGCUUGCGGCUCAAUUUGACUCAACGCUGGAAAACUUUCCUGGCCAGAACACUGAAAGGAUUGACAGAUUGAUAGCUCUUUCUUGAUUCGGUGGAAGGUGGUGCAUGUCCGUUCGCAGUUGGUGGAGCGAUUUGUCUGGUUAAUUCCGAUAACGAACGAAACGCUAUCUUAUUAAAUAGAGCUCAUAUUGCAAGUCGUAUGUAAGUUUCUUCUUAGAGGGACAAGGUGUCUUCAGCACCGCGAAACGGCGCAAUAACAGGUCUGUAUGCCCCUAGAUGACCAGGAACGCACGCGCGCCACAAUGAAAAGAGCAGCGUGUAAUUUCUUUCUUGAAAAAGUUGGGUAACCCGUUGAAUCCUUUUCUUGCUUGGGAUAGGGGAUUGCAAUUAUUUCCCUUGAACGAGGAAUUCCUCGUAAAUGCUAGUCAUCAGCUAGUGUUGAAUAUGUCCCUGCCCUUUGCACACAUCGCCCGUCGCUAUUACCGAUUGAAUGAUUUAGUAAGGCUUGCUGAUUGAUUUUUUGAGAAACUUCUUGUUUUUAGGAAAAUUAAAAGACGGCCGAACUUGAUUAUUUAGAGGAAAUA
RNAcentral lists this ribosomal RNA (1709 nucleotides) under Cilliba sp. ARP-2015. Its description in RNAcentral is "partial small subunit ribosomal RNA". It matches the Rfam family "Eukaryotic small subunit ribosomal RNA". Lineage: Eukaryota; Metazoa; Arthropoda; Arachnida; Mesostigmata; Cillibidae. The record is from RNAcentral.